This 445-nucleotide ribosomal RNA is filed under the name uncultured bacterium. RNAcentral's name for it is "partial 16S ribosomal RNA". It matches the Rfam family "Bacterial small subunit ribosomal RNA", at positions 354 to 796 of the family's 1533-position model. The record is from RNAcentral.
GUGAGGAAUAUUGGUCAAUGGUCGCAAGACUGAACCAGCCAUGCCGCGUGCAGGAAGACGGUCCUAUGGAUUGUAAACUGCUUUUAUACAGGAAGAAACCCUCCCACGUGUGGGAGCUUGACGGUACUGUAGGAAUAAGGAUCGGCUAACUCCGUGCCAGCAGCCGCGGUAAUACGGAGGAUCCAAGCGUUAUCCGGAAUCAUUGGGUUUAAAGGGUCCGUAGGCGGUCUUAUAAGUCAGUGGUGAAAGCCCAUCGCUCAACGAUGGAACUGCCAUUGAUACUGUAAGACUUGAAUGCUUAGGAAGUAACUAGAAUAUGUAGUGUAGCGGUGAAAUGCUUAGAUAUUACAUGGAAUACCAAUUGCGAAGGCAGGUUACUACUAAGUGAUUGACGCUGAUGGACGAAAGCGUGGGGAGCGAACAGGAUUAGAAACCCGGGUAGUCC